RNAcentral lists this microRNA (19 nucleotides) under Tribolium castaneum (red flour beetle). Its description in RNAcentral is "tca-miR-3887-3p". Lineage: Eukaryota; Metazoa; Arthropoda; Insecta; Coleoptera; Tenebrionidae. The record is from miRBase by way of RNAcentral.
UGGCGCCUUUUUAUUCCAA